UUUGACACGACAUUGCUCACAUUGCUUCCAGUGUAAUUUAUAGCUUUUAGGUACAGCUGUGGUAUU
Molecule: non-coding RNA, 66 nt
Filed under: Vibrio chagasii
Lineage: Bacteria; Pseudomonadati; Pseudomonadota; Gammaproteobacteria; Vibrionales; Vibrionaceae
Source: RNAcentral